This 468-nucleotide ribosomal RNA is filed under the name uncultured bacterium. RNAcentral's name for it is "partial 16S ribosomal RNA". It matches the Rfam family "Bacterial small subunit ribosomal RNA", at positions 28 to 507 of the family's 1533-position model. The record is from RNAcentral.
GACGAACGCUGGCGGCGUGCUUAACACAUGCAAGUCGAACGGAAAGGCCCUGCUCUUGUGGGGUGCUCGAGUGGCGAACGGGGGAGUAACACGUGAGUAACCUGCCCUUGACUUUGGGAUAACAUCAGGAAACUGGGGCUAAUACCGGAUAGGAGCUCCUGCUGCAUGGGGGGGGUUGGAAAGUUUCGGCGGUUGGGGCUGGUCUAGCGGCUUAUCAGCCUGUUGGUGGGGUAGGUGCUUACCAAGGCUAUGACGGGUAGCCGGCCUGGGAGGGUGGCCGGCCACAUUGGGACUGAGAUAGGGCCCAGACUCCUACGGGAGGCAGCAGUGGAGAGUAUUGCACAAUGGGCGGAAGCCUGAUGCAGCAACGCCGCGUGCGGGAUGACGGCCUUCGGGUUGUAAACCGCUUUCGCCUGUGACGAAGCGUGAGUGACGGUAAUGGGUAAAGAAGCACCGGCUAACUACGUG